AAAAAAAAAUAACGAACAAGAAGAAUAAGGUUUAACCUAAUUGAUAACGACAUUACAUUAUCCCUUAUUACAUUAUCCCUUAUUACAUUAUCCCUUAGAGCUGUUUUGAAUGAGGUUUAACCUAAUUCAUAACGACAUUACAUUAUCCCUUAGAGCUGUUUUGAAUGAGGUUUAACCUAAUUCAUAACGACAUUACAUUAUCCCUCAGAGCUGUUUUGAAUGAGGUUUAACCUAAUUGAUAACGACAUUACAUUAUCCCUUAUUACAUUAACCCUUAGAGCUGUUUUGAAUGAGGUUUAACCUAAAUCAUAACGACAUUACAUUAUCCCUUAGAGCUGUUUUGAAUGAGGUUUAACCUAAUUCAUAACGACAUUACAUUAUCCCUCAGAGCUGUUUUGUUGAAACACCAAUAGCAGCACAGUUGACAUUAGUCAUAUAGGAAUAAUAUACACUAUAUAAUAUGGCAUAUAUCCCCAAUACCCAUAGCAAUACAGAGCAUAUACAGCCAGGUACAAAAAGAUUAGCACCUUUGAUAAUGAUGAGCAACAAAGACUAUAAAAUAAUACAAAUAAUGAGCGAUAAAGUACAUGCUCAAUUAAAACACACACACACAUAUAUACACACACACACACACACACACACACACACACACACA
Molecule: long non-coding RNA, 655 nt
Filed under: Salmo salar (Atlantic salmon)
Lineage: Eukaryota; Metazoa; Chordata; Actinopteri; Salmoniformes; Salmonidae
Description: lncRNA (ENSSSAG00000106853.1, ENSSSAG00000116220.1)
Source: RNAcentral